GGCCUCAGUUUUCUCAGGAAAGAUCUGGACUAGAUGAGCUCUGAGGUCCUGAUGGUUAAAAUUCCACGGCUCAAGGAUUAUUCUUUUUGCUGUUAUUAAGAUGGAGUUGUCGAGAGGAGAACUGAGUCAUCGUUGCAGCAAGAAGAAACCAGGCCACGCCUUUAACACUUUGUUUGGAAAUCUCCUCAGCUAAAUUCCAAGCUCAUCACUUACAACUUCUACUUUCCACCCAACGCUAGAACCAAAUUCAGAGAGGAAGACUGAGCACUUUAGUGUCUAAGCUCCUGUUAUAACAGGGUCUAUCCACCACUGCAUGCUGGAGUGAACAACAUAACAGUGAGAGAGAGAACUGCUACCUACCGUGCAGAAGGAAUUGAGCUGGCUAGGUUCUGAAUGCAUGCAGAGUUGAAUAACAUGAAAACAGCCAAAGAAAAAUCAUCAUGCAAGGAAAAUACAAUUGGAAUGCCAAAGCAAUCCCGGAGCUGUCUAACAUGCUAGCUUUUACCUGCUGUUCCGUAAGUUAGCUUUUGAAAAAAAAAAUUCACAUCAAUCCAUGUUCAUCAUUAAAAUUUUU
RNAcentral lists this long non-coding RNA (574 nucleotides) under Equus caballus (horse). Its description in RNAcentral is "lncRNA (ENSECAG00000059304.1)". Lineage: Eukaryota; Metazoa; Chordata; Mammalia; Perissodactyla; Equidae. The record is from RNAcentral.